UCCGUAGGUGAAUCUGCGGAAGGAUCAUUAAUGAAUAACUAUGGUGUUGGUUGUUGCUGGCUUCUAGGAGCAUGUGCACGCCCACCAUUCUUAUCUCUCCACCUGUGCACAUUAUGUAGGUCUGGAUAACUCUCGCUCUCGGGCGGAUACAGGGAUUGUCGCUUGCGACUCUCCUUGAAUUUCCAGAUCUAUGUAUUUACAUACCCCAAUCGAAUGAUGAAGAAUGUAGUCAAUGGGCUUUAUGCCUAUAAAACAAAAUACAACUUUCAGCAACGGAUCUCUUGGCUCUCGCAUCGAUGAAGAACGCAGCGAAAUGCGAUAAGUAAUGUGAAUUGCAGAAUUCAGUGAAUCAUCGAAUCUUUGAACGCACCUUGCGCUCCUUGGUAUUCCGAGGAGCAUGCCUGUUUGAGUGUCAUUAAAUUCUCAACUUCAUCAUUUUUUGUUGAAGCUUGGACGUGGGGGUUGUGCAGAAUGCUUCGGUGAUCUGCUCCCCUUAAAUGAAUUAGCGAGUUCAACCUGAGCUCCGUCUAUUGGUGUGAUAAUUAUCUACGCCGUGGAUUGGACUUAGACUUGCUUCUAACCGUCUGCAAGGACAAUUCUUGACAAUUUGACCUCAAAUCAGGUAGGACUACCCGCUGAACUUAAGCAUAUCAAUAAGCGGAGGA
This 665-nucleotide ribosomal RNA is filed under the name uncultured Psathyrella. Its description in RNAcentral is "eukaryotic LSU rRNA". The stretch from base 262 to 415 matches the Rfam family "5.8S ribosomal RNA". The record is from RNAcentral. Lineage: Eukaryota; Fungi; Basidiomycota; Agaricomycetes; Agaricales; Psathyrellaceae.